Pipra filicauda (Wire-tailed manakin) is the source of this 563-nucleotide long non-coding RNA. RefSeq lists it as uncharacterized. NCBI's taxonomy places the organism in Eukaryota, Metazoa, Chordata, Aves, Passeriformes, Pipridae. The transcript has 2 exons. The record is from RefSeq and is a predicted model, not a curated record.
GGCAGAUCAGGUCAGAGAGCUGAAGGACAAGCCAAAAUUCUGCUCUCCUUCUUCCCCCAAAAAACCCAACAUUUAUUCUCAUCAAAUUGUUAACCAGCUCAAAGGAGAGGGGGAGAAAGGAGAAGGCAGGGAUGAGAACACCCUGCUCCUCCUGGCAGCGUCCCACAGCUGCAGCAGAGAAACCUUCCCCCCAGCAGCCUGACAGACAGCAGGGGAUCAGCCCUCCUGACCUGACAGAACACACAUGAUGGAAACACAACAUUCAAGCCCUUGACAACUAGCAAGGAGAACACAUAUAGAAAGCAUCUUGCAGCUCCCCUGAACACAAUCCCCUGCUGCAGCCGAGCAGUCUCUCCCGAGAAAAAGAACAACUUUUUGGUCAUCUACUGAAGCCAGUAAUUCUGUUCUUCGGACUCCCAGGAUUUCUGCUAUCUGAUGGAAUAUUUAAGCGGAGACUUCAUUCCCCCGGUGGAGCGCCGACGGCUCAGCCACUCCACUCCGGUGUUCAAUGAGCUCUUGUGUUCUAUUACAGAAUAAAUGCGAUUUUCUGCCCAGCUGGAAAA